GACGAGAUAGCCAAGCCCGGUAUGGCGCAGGGUUGCUAACCCUGUGAUGGUUCCCAUCUCGGGGGUUCGAAUCCCCCUCUCGUCG
This 85-nucleotide transfer RNA is filed under the name Candidatus Methanoperedentaceae archaeon HGW-Methanoperedenaceae-1. RNAcentral describes it as "Candidatus Methanoperedenaceae archaeon HGW-Methanoperedenaceae-1 tRNA-Ser". It matches the Rfam family "tRNA". Rfam says of the family: Transfer RNA (tRNA) molecules are approximately 80 nucleotides in length. Their secondary structure includes four short double-helical elements and three loops (D, anti-codon, and T loops). The record is from RNAcentral. RNAcentral also lists the same sequence under 3 other names. Lineage: Archaea; Methanobacteriati; Methanobacteriota; Methanomicrobia; Methanosarcinales; Candidatus Methanoperedentaceae.